GAUAAACGCUGGCGGCGUGCCUAACACAUGCAAGUCGAACGCCCUCUUGGCAACAAGAGGGAGUGGCGGACGGGUGAGGAACACGUAGAUUACCUACCCCUUGGUGAGGAAUACUGGCGAGAAAUCGCCAACAAUUCCGCAUAGCCUUUUUGCGCGAGCAAGAAGGAAAGCUUCGCAUAGCGAGGUGCCAAAGGACGGGUCUGCGCCUGAUUAGCUGGUUGGUGGGGUAAUGGCCUACCAAGGCGACGAUCAGUAGCUGGUCUGAGAGGACGAUCAG
This 277-nucleotide ribosomal RNA is filed under the name uncultured bacterium. RNAcentral describes it as "partial 16S ribosomal RNA". It matches the Rfam family "Bacterial small subunit ribosomal RNA", at positions 28 to 307 of the family's 1533-position model. The record is from RNAcentral.